This is a long non-coding RNA of Aphis gossypii (cotton aphid), 248 nucleotides long. RefSeq lists it as uncharacterized. Lineage: Eukaryota; Metazoa; Arthropoda; Insecta; Hemiptera; Aphididae. The record is from RefSeq and is a predicted model, not a curated record. The transcript has 2 exons.
GUUUUGAAAAUAAUUUGGCAUGUCUUUAAGUUUACCACAGGAUAUCUACGUCGAAUAUCUAUGGAUUUCGUGUUUUUCGUCAAAAAUAAGACUCGAGUUAUGCAUGUGCAAUGUGAUGUUUGGGUACUGAAUUUAUUCCAUUCAUUGCUUAAUAACCCUUUUAUGCGUCAUACGAGUAGGUGAAAAUGUGUCAUAUUUCGUAAGAUAUUAAUUAAUUAUUGAAAGUAAGUGUAUUACUGUAUUGUAAU